AAUUCCAGCAUGACAUCACAGAAAUAAAUGAGAUCUUCAAGGAGCUUGGUGCGCUGGUACAUGAACAAGGGGAAGUUAUAAGUAAGUUUUAGAUUUAUAUUCAAUUAUACAUAUCUGAUGUGAAACUAUUGUUUAUCAACUGUUCAGUCAAUUACACAAUUGUUUUCUGUAAUGCUGUUUAUUAACGGUUCAGUCAAUUACUUAAUAAUUGUUUUCUGUAAUGCUGUUAUCAACUGUUCAUCAAUUACUUAAUUGUUUUCUGUAAUGCUGUUUAAUCAACGGUUCAGUCAAUUACUUAAUUGUUUUCUGUAAUGCUGCUUAUCAACGGUUCAGUCAAUUACUUAAUUGUUUUCUGUAAUGCUGUUUAUCAACGGUUCAGUCAAUUACUUAAUUGUUUUCUGUAAUGCUGUUUAUCAACGGUUCAGUCAAUUACUUAAUUGUUUUCUGUAAUGCUGUUUAUUAACGGUUCAGUGUUGUGUCACACAAAGAACCGUAACCAAACGUUUGUAUUUUAAAGCAUUUUAAGAUAAAUCUUUUUUUUAGAUGUUAUUUUUUAUAUCUUAAAUAAUCCGUACGGUGACCUAUAUUUGUUAAUGUCUGUGUCAUUUUGGUCUUUUGUGGAUAGUUGUCUCAUUGGCAAUCAUACCACAUCUUCUAUUUUAUAUUAACUACAGAUACGAUAGAUGACAAUGUAUUCACAGCAGUUAUACCUAUACAAGAAGCAAACCAAGACCUAGCACGAGCUGUGUCCAUUCAGGUAAUGUCUUGUACCAAGUCAGGAAUAUGGCCAUUGUUAUAUUAUAGUUCAUUUCUGUGUGUUUUAACGUUGUGUUUCCAUUGUGUCGUUUGUCUUCUCUUAAUUUUUAGUGUGAAUUCACAUUACUAUAAGACGUGUCACGGUACUUAAUUAUCCCAAAUUCAUGUAUUUGGUUUUGAUGUUAUAUUUGUUAUUCUCAUAGGAUUUUGUCUAAUGCUUAGUCCGUUUCUGUGUGUGUUACAUUUUAAUGUUGUGUCGAUGUUCUCCUCUUAUAUUUAAUGCGUUUCCCUCAGUUUUAGUUUGUUAACCCGAUGUUUGUUUUUUGUCCAUGGAUUUAUGAGUUUUGAACAGCGGUAUACUACUGUUGCCUUUAUUUAUACGGGUGUGCUAUGAAUUAAUUCAGUGAUACAAAUACUUAGCAAUAGGUUUUAUAAUCAAUUCCUAUUUAAUUCACUUCGGUACAAUAAACCUAAUUGAAAUAACCAUAUAUUUAAAAAUAAAAUACUAAAAAGAUUUAAAUCAAAUGUAAGAUUUAUUUCCUCCAGCACAUCAUAACAUGCUUUGAGUUUAAGUUAUUUUGUAUUUUAAAUAUGCUCUGAAUAUGAUUGACAAAGUGUAAGUUCAAAUCCUUUGUUAAACUCUUAGAUAUCAUUCAGCAAGAUUGUCUUAUCACUAUUAACUACACUCAGCCGUGAACAUAGGCAAUAUAUUCCCUUUGCAAUUGUCGUCACAUUAGAAUAUAAUGCAAUAUCCUUAUUUCCCAAUAAAAAUAUGAUUUCAAACCCUUUCAAGCAAAGUUGACUAUUAAUCUCAAAUUUUCAAAAUGAGCACACGAAUCAAUAAAGAAAGUUUCGUAUAAAUGUAAGGAUACCGGAUUUGGCUGAAUUACUUAAAAAACAAUGGUACACAUACCAAACAUCUUUCAUUCGUUGUAUACAUUUUCAAACCAAUUUAUUACUUGAUUUCCCACAAUUCCAGGUUCAUACUAAUAGAUUUUGAGUAACGCCACACACAAAACAAACCUACAAUCUCGUUUAGUCUAGUUAGUUUUCUUUCGAAAUAAUUCUGUUUUCGUUUGAUUGUUUAGGAAUGUUUAUACUGUAUGUCGUUUUCCUGCCUAAGAAUUAUUUUUUGCUCAUUUAAUAAAUUCUUUUAUCUAUUUCAGAAAAAAGUGAGAAGUAAGAAAUGCCUAUGUCUGGUUGUUCUGAUUGUUGGAGUAGUGAUUAUUAUUGCAAUACUAUUACCGGUACUUCAAUCUAGAAACAAUUGAUAAGGUAGGCUUGCGACACUAUUACAAUACUUAUUUCUUUAAACAAUUGAUAAGGUAGGCUUGCGACACUAUUGCCGGUACUUCUUUCUAGACACAAUUGAUAAGGUAGGCUUGCGACACUAUUACCGGUACUUCUAUCUAUAAACAAUUGAUAAGGUAGGCUUGCGACACUAUUACCAGUACUUCUUUCUAUAAACAAUUGAUAUGGUAAGCUUGUAACACUAUUACGGGUACUUCUUUCUAUAAACAAUUGAUAAGGUAGGCUUGCGACACUAUUACCGGUACUUCUUUCUAUAAACAAUUGAUAAGGAAGGCUUGUAACACUUUUACCGGUACUUCUUUCUAUAAACAAUUGAUAAGGUAGGCUUGCGACACUAUUACCGGUAGUUCUAUCUAUAAACAAUUGAUUAGGCUUUUCGACACUAUUUACUGUCUAUCUAUAAACAAUGAUAAGGUAGGUUGCGACACUAUUUCCGGUACUUCUAUAUAAACAAUUGAUAAGGUAGGCUUGCGACACUAUUAUACUUCCACUUACUACUUCUAUCUAUAAACAAAUGAUAAGGUAGGCUUGCGACAUUAUUACCAGUACUUCUAUCUAUAAACAAUUGAUAAGGUAGGCUGGUGACAGUAUUACCGGUACUUCUAUCUAUAAACAAUUGAUAAGGUAGGCUUGCGAUACUAUUACCAGUACUUCUAUCUAUAAACAAUUGAUAAGAUAGGCUUGCGACAUUAUUACCGGUACUUCUAUCUAUAAACAAUUGAUAAGGUAGGCUUGUAACACCUUCUUCAAUACUAAUACCAAUACUUCUUUCUAUAAACAAUUGAUAAGGUAGGCUUGCAACACUUAUUACCAGUACUUCUAUCUAUAAAAAAUUGAUAAGGUAGGCUUGUGACACUAUUACCGGUACUUCUAUCUAUAAACAAUUGAUAAGGUAGGCUUGUAACACCUUCUUCAAUACUACCAAUUCUAUAAACAAUUGAUAAGGUAGGCUGCAAUACUAUUACUCUACGAUCUAUAAAUUGAUACGGUAGGCUUGCAAUACUAUUACCAGUACUUCUAUUUAUAAACAAUUGAUAAGGUAGGCUUGUGACACCUUCUACAAUACUAUUACCGGUACUUCUAUCUAUAAACAAUUGAUAAGGUAGGCUUGUGACACUAUUACCGGUACCUCUAUCUAUAAACAAUUGAUAUGGUAGGCUUGCGACACUAUUAUCAGUACUUCUAUCUAUAAACAAUUGAUAAGGUAGGCUUGCGACACUAUUACCGGUAUUUCUAUCUAUAAACAAUUGAUAAGGUAGGCUUGCAAUACUAUUACCAGUAUUUCUAUCUAUAAACAAUUGAUAAGGUAGGCUUGCGAUACUAUUACCGGUACUUCUAUCUAUAAACAAUUGAUAAGUUAGGCUUGCAACACUAUUACCAGUACUUCUAUCUAUAAACAAUUGAUAAGGUAGGCUUGCGACACUAUUACCAGUACUUCUAUCUAUAAACAAUUGAUAAGGUAGGCUUGCGACACUAUUACCAGUACUUCUAGAACAAUUGAUAAGGUAGGCUUGCGACAUUAUUACCGGUACUUCUAUCUAUAAACAAUUGAUAAGGAUAGCUUGUUGUUCGGUGUGAGCUAAGGCUCCGUGUUGAAGGCCGUACUUUAACUAAUGGUUUACUUUUUAAAUUGUUUAUUUGUUAUGGAGAGUUGUCUCAUUGGCCAUACACCACAUCUUCCUAUAUCUAUUUGUAACACCUUCUUCAAUACUAAUACAUACUUUCUUGAUAAGUAGGCUGCAAUAUAACUUCAGUGACUUUACUUCUAUCUAUAAACAAUUGAUAAGGUAGGCUUGUAACACCUUCUUCAAUACUAAUACCAAUACUUCUUUCUAUAAACAAUUGAUAAGGUAGGCUUGCAAUACUAUUACCAGUACUUCUAUCUAUAAACAAUUGAUAAGGUAGGCUUGUAACACCUUCUACGAUACUAUUACCAGUACUUCUUUCUAUAAACAAUUGAUAAGGUAGGCUUGCAAUACUAUUACCAGUACUUCUAUUUAUAAACAAUUGAUAAGGUAGGCUUGCGACACCUUCUACAAUACUAUUACCGGUACUUCUAUCUAUAAACAAUUGAUAAGGUAGGCUUGUGACACUAUUACCGGUACAUCUUUCUAUAAACAAUUGAUAAGGUAGGCUUGCAACACUAUUACCGGUAUUUCUAUCUAUAAAUAAUUGAUAAGGUAGGCUUGCAAUACUAUUACCAGUAUUUCAUUCUAUAAACAAUUGAUAAGGUAGGCUUGCGAUACUAUUACCGGUCCUUCUUUCUAUAAACAUUUGAUAAGGUAGGCUUGCGACACUAUUACCAGUACUUCUUUCUAUAAACAAUUGAUAAGGUAGGCUUGCAACACCUUCCACUUACGUACUUCUUUCUAUAAACAAUUGAUAAGGUAGGCUUGUGACACCUUCCACUUACUAUAAAAUAUUGAGAAAACAUGUUUUUAUUACCAGUAGUAAAUCAAGGAUUUAAAUAGGCAGGAUGCUUUAUUCAUAUCGUUUAUAAUUGAUUUUUUCAAUCCCACAAUGCAUUACACCAGGGUUUCCCCUUUGGAAUACACGUCAAACUCACACUUUAUCACUUAUGACAACAAUAUGUACACGUCAAGCCUAACAUUAAAAUGAUAGGUUAAUCAAAGAUGCUUAUUUAAAAGAUGGACUCCAACUUCAAAUAACACAAAUCAAAAGAAGAGAGACAAACAGAAGACAGAGACGUAUACGAAUGGUGGUUUUCUCAGAAAACACAUCAAUGCCCUGCUUCAUAUUGAAUACAAACUACAUAAUAAGACACAUUGAGAUUAUAACAUACACUGUCUCCAAAGUUUCUUUGUAUUAACUUUUUGGUUAUAAAACGGCGAGUUAUGGUGUCUGGAGAUUAUGUAAACAAACUUGGUGACCUUCUUCUCUGGUCGGGUUGUUGUCUCUUUGGCCUCAUUUCCAUUCUCAAUUUUAUUCAUUUUUGUUUGAUACAAUGGUAAUGUAUAAUUCGAAAUAUUAAUGAUUUUCUUAUCCCAGGCAUAAAUUACCUUAGCCGUAUUGGGCACAACUUGAAUUUGUGGUUCUCAAUGCUCUUCAACUUUAUACUUGUUUGACUUUCAGACUAUUUUGAUUUGAGCGUUACUGAAGAGUCUUCUGUAGUAAAAACGCACGUCUGACGUAUUAAUUUAUAAGUCUGGUACCUUUGAUAACUACUGAACUGACCAAACUAUUUGUAACGAUUAAAUACUGUAUUUUUUUUGUAGAGGUAAAUUACAGAGUCAUGUGGUACUUCUCCAUUGGUCACAAUAAGCUGGACUUUCUGAAGAAAACCCUGGCAGACUAUGUCCUUUAUAUACACCAGUACAGACAGAACUGAAUAGACAUUAUGAUUAACUAAGCAUUCAACUUCAUAAAACGUGUCUCUCUUUCAUACCAAUGAUAUAUACAGCUGUUUGAAAUAAUGAU
Molecule: long non-coding RNA, 5505 nt
Filed under: Mytilus galloprovincialis (Mediterranean mussel)
Lineage: Eukaryota; Metazoa; Mollusca; Bivalvia; Mytilida; Mytilidae
Source: RNAcentral